RNAcentral lists this ribosomal RNA (1148 nucleotides) under Salmonella enterica subsp. enterica serovar Carmel. Its description in RNAcentral is "partial 23S ribosomal RNA". It matches the Rfam family "Bacterial large subunit ribosomal RNA", at positions 1292 to 2423 of the family's 2925-position model. The record is from RNAcentral. Lineage: Bacteria; Pseudomonadati; Pseudomonadota; Gammaproteobacteria; Enterobacterales; Enterobacteriaceae.
GAAUGCUGACAUAAGUAACGAUAAAGCGGGUGAAAAGCCCGCUCGCCGGAAGACCAAGGGUUCCUGUCCAACGUUAAUCGGGGCAGGGUGAGUCGACCCCUAAGGCGAGGCCGAAAGGCGUAGUCGAUGGGAAACGGGUUAAUAUUCCCGUACUUGGUGUUACUGCGAAGGGGGGACGGAGAAGGCUAUGUUGGCCGGGCGACGGUUGUCCCGGUUUAAGCGUGUAGGUGUGUGUUCCAGGUAAAUCCGGUUCACUUUAACACUGAGGCGUGAUGACGAGGCACUACGGUGCUGAAGCAACAAAUGCCCUGCUUCCAGGAAAAGCCUCUAAGCAUCAGGUAACAUCAAAUCGUACCCCAAACCGACACAGGUGGUCAGGUAGAGAAUACCAAGGCGCUUGAGAGAACUCGGGUGAAGGAACUAGGCAAAAUGGUGCCGUAACUUCGGGAGAAGGCACGCUGACACGUAGGUGAAGUGAUUUACUCAUGGAGCUGAAGUCAGUCGAAGAUACCAGCUGGCUGCAACUGUUUAUUAAAAACACAGCACUGUGCAAACACGAAAGUGGACGUAUACGGUGUGACGCCUGCCCGGUGCCGGAAGGUUAAUUGAUGGGGUCAGCGCAAGCGAAGCUCCUGAUCGAAGCCCCGGUAAACGGCGGCCGUAACUAUAACGGUCCUAAGGUAGCGAAAUUCCUUGUCGGGUAAGUUCCGACCUGCACGAAUGGCGUAAUGAUGGCCAGGCUGUCUCCACCCGAGACUCAGUGAAAUUGAACUCGCUGUGAAGAUGCAGUGUACCCGCGGCAAGACGGAAAGACCCCGUGAACCUUUACUAUAGCUUGACACUGAACAUUGAGCCUUGAUGUGUAGGAUAGGUGGGAGGCUUUGAAGUGUGGACGCCAGUCUGCAUGGAGCCGACCUUGAAAUACCACCCUUUAAUGUUUGAUGUUCUAACGUGGACCCGUGAUCCGGGUUGCGGACAGUGUCUGGUGGGUAGUUUGACUGGGGCGGUCUCCUCCUAAAGAGUAACGGAGGAGCACGAAGGUUGGCUAAUCCUGGUCGGACAUCAGGAGGUUAGUGCAAUGGCAUAAGCCAGCUUGACUGCGAGCGUGACGGCGCGAGCAGGUGCGAAAGCAGGUCAUAGUGAUCCGG